RNAcentral lists this ribosomal RNA (27 nucleotides) under Miscanthus sinensis (eulalia). RNAcentral's name for it is "17S ribosomal RNA". Lineage: Eukaryota; Viridiplantae; Streptophyta; Magnoliopsida; Poales; Poaceae. The record is from RNAcentral. RNAcentral also lists the same sequence under 1 other name.
GUGCUACCUGGUUGAUCCUGCCAGAAG